RNAcentral lists this ribosomal RNA (660 nucleotides) under Halomicrobium mukohataei. Its description in RNAcentral is "bacterial SSU rRNA". It matches the Rfam family "Archaeal small subunit ribosomal RNA", at positions 29 to 692 of the family's 1478-position model. Lineage: Archaea; Methanobacteriati; Methanobacteriota; Halobacteria; Halobacteriales; Haloarculaceae. The record is from RNAcentral.
GCAUGGGAUCGAUUUAGCCAUGCUAGUCGCACGGGCUUAGACCCGUGGCGUAUAGCUCAGUAACACGUGGCCAAACUACCCUAUAGACCAUGAUAACCUCGGGAAACUGAGGCUAAUCGUGGAUAUCGCAUUCACGCUUGAACUGCCGAAUGCGAGAAACGUUCCGGCGCUAUAGGAUGUGGCUGCGGCCGAUUAGGUAGACGGGGGGGUAACGGCCCACCGUGCCAGUAAUCGGUACGGGUGGUGACAGCCAAAACCCGGAAACGGUAUCUGAGACAAGAUACCGGGCCCUACGGGGCGCAGCAGGCGCGAAACCUUUACACUGCACGACAGUGCGAUAGGGGGACUCCAAGUGCGAGGGCAUAUAGCCCUCGCUUUUCUCGACCGUAAGGUGGUCGACGAAUAAGGACUGGGCAAGACCGGUGCCAGCCGCCGCGGUAAUACCGGCAGUCCGAGUGAUGGCCGCUGUUAUUGGGCCUAAAGCGUCCGUAGCUUGCCGUGAAAGUCUAUCGGGAAAUCGACGUGCUCAACGCGUCGGCUUCCGGUGGAAACUGUACGGCUUGGGGCCGGAAGACUCAGCGGGUACGUCCGGGGUAGGAGUGAAAUCCUGUAAUCCUGGACGGACCACCAAUGGCGAAAGCACGCUGAGAAGCCGGACCC